GGGGCUGUAGCUCAGUGGCAGAGUGCUCACCUAGCAUGUGUGAGGUACUGGAUUCGAUCCUCAGCACCA
Non-coding RNA from Ictidomys tridecemlineatus (thirteen-lined ground squirrel), 69 nucleotides. The record is from Rfam. NCBI's taxonomy places the organism in Eukaryota, Metazoa, Chordata, Mammalia, Rodentia, Sciuridae.